GAGUUUGAUCAUGGCUCAGGACGAACGCUGGCGGCGUGCCUAAUACAUGCAAGUCGAGCGAAGAAUAGGUUUCAAAUCUUCGGAUGCGAGACCUAUUACUUAGCGGCGAACGGGUGAGUAACGCGUGGGCAACCUGCCCCCCAGACUGGGAUAACAGCUCGAAAGGGCUGCUAAUACCGGAUACGCCUCAAGGAUCGCAUGUUACUUGAGGGAAAGUGUUUAGCGCUGGGGGAUGGGCCCGCGUCCCAUUAGCUAGUUGGUGAGGUAACGGCUCACCAAGGCGACGAUGGGUAGCCGGCCUGAGAGGGUGGACGGCCACACUGGGACUGAGACACGGCCCAGACUCCUACGGGAGGCAGCAGUAGGGAAUAUUGCGCAAUGGGGGGAACCCUGACGCAGCGACGCCGCGUGAGCGAUGAAGGCCUUCGGGUCGUAAAGCUCUGUCCUAUGGGACGAUAAUGACGGUACCAUAGGAGGAAGCCCCGGCUAACUACGUGCCAGCAGCCGCGGUAAUACGUAGGGGGCGAGCGUUGUCCGGAAUUACUGGGCGUAAAGGGUGCGUAGGCGGCCCUUUAAGUCGGAUGUGAAAGCCCGCGGCUUAACCGCGGAAUGGCAUUCGAAACUGGAGGGCUUGAGUGUCGGAGAGGGUAGUGGAAUUCCCAGUGUAGCGGUGAAAUGCGUAGAUAUUGGGAGGAACACCAGUGGCGAAGGCGACUACCUGGACGAUAACUGACGCUGAGGCACGAAAGCUAGGGGAGCAAACAGGAUUAGAUACCCUGGUAGUCCUAGCCGUAAACGAUGGGUACUAGGUGUGGGUGGUUUCGAUACCAUCCGUGCCGUAGUUAACGCAUUAAGUACCCCGCCUGGGGAGUACGUGCGCAAGCAUGAAACUCAAAGGAAUUGACGGGGGCCCGCACAAGCGGUGGAGCAUGUGGUUUAAUUCGAAGCAACGCGAAGAACCUUACCAGGUCUUGACAUCACCUAGCAAGCCAUGGAAACAUGGCCCUCCUUCGGGACUGGGUGACAGGUGGUGCAUGGUUGUCGUCAGCUCGUGUCGUGAGAUGUUGGGUUAAGUCCCGCAACGAGCGCAACCCUUGCCUUUAGUUGCCAGCAUUAAGUUGGGGACUCUAAAGGGACUGCCGGCGACAAGUCGGAGGAAGGUGGGGAUGACGUCAAAUCAUCAUGCCCCUUAUGUCCGGGGCGACACACGUGUUACAAUGGGCGGUACAGCGGGAAGCUACCCGGCGACGGGGAGCCGAUCCCGAAAUCCGCUCACAGUUCGGAUCGGAGUCUGCAACUCGACUCCGUGAAGUCGGAUUCGCUAGUAAUCGCGCAUCAGCCACGGCGCGGUGAAUACGUUCCCGGGCCUUGUACACACCGCCCGUCAAGCCAUGGAAGUCGGGGGUACCUGAAGUUCGUAACCCUUCGGGGAGCGACCCAGGGUAAAACCGGUGACUGGGGCUAAGUCGUAACAAGGUAGCCG
Molecule: ribosomal RNA, 1483 nt
Filed under: uncultured bacterium
Lineage: Bacteria
Description: bacterial SSU rRNA
Rfam family: Bacterial small subunit ribosomal RNA
Source: RNAcentral